This 201-nucleotide unclassified non-coding RNA is filed under the name Hevea brasiliensis (rubber tree). The record is from RNAcentral. Lineage: Eukaryota; Viridiplantae; Streptophyta; Magnoliopsida; Malpighiales; Euphorbiaceae.
CCCUCUGAUCGAGGUGCACAUCAAUCACAGAGAGCAGAGAGAGUUCCGGAAAUACUUGAGAGCACGAAUGAUCUCGAAGAGAGGUUUGAGUAAGCGCCUCAUUCGUCCAACUUGUCGCAACUGCGCUCGCAUAGUUCGCNCGAUCCGAUCAUUGCUGCGUUCACGGCUGACAACAAAGGAGUGUGCCAUGGGCAUUUUCAC